GACGAACGCUAGCGGCAGGCUUAACACAUGCAAGUCGAGGGGUAACAGGGAGCUUGCUCUGCUGACGACCGGCGCACGGGUGCGUAACGCGUAUGCAACCUACCUUCUACAGGGGGAUAGUCAAUAGAAAUGUUGAAUAAUACCCCAUACGAUCUUUGAGUGGCAUUACUCAAAGAGGAAAGCUUCGGCGGUAGAAGAUGGGCAUGCGUCCUAUUAGUUAGUUGGUGAGGUAACGGCUCACCAAGACUACGAUAGGUAGGGGCCCUGAGAGGGGGAUCCCCCACACUGGUACUGAGACACGGACCAGACUCCUACGGGAGGCAGCAGUGAGGAAUAUUGGACAAUGGAGGCAACUCUGAUCCAGCCAUGCCGCGUGCAGGAAGACUGCCCUAUGGGUUGUAAACUGCUUUUAUACAGGAAGAAACCUACUUACGUGUAAGUAGCUGACGGUACUGUAAGAAUAAGGAUCGGCUAACUCCGUGC
RNAcentral lists this ribosomal RNA (483 nucleotides) under uncultured Cytophagales bacterium. RNAcentral describes it as "bacterial SSU rRNA". It matches the Rfam family "Bacterial small subunit ribosomal RNA", at positions 28 to 508 of the family's 1533-position model. The record is from RNAcentral. Lineage: Bacteria; Pseudomonadati; Bacteroidota; Sphingobacteriia; Sphingobacteriales.